CGAUGAAGGUGUUGGCAGCCAUUUAUGAAGACUUGAAGUUUUUCUGGGUUUCAAAGUUGGGUUUCUUUUCUGGGUUUGAGAGCAAAUGGCAAGGAAUUCUGGAGAUAUGAAAGCGUAAAAAGGUUAAGUGAAUUUGGAUUGAGUAUUUAUAGGCAUUUGGGAAGAAGAUCAAUAGGUUGAUUUUAAAAGAAUGAGGGGUAAAUUCGACCAAAAUAUUUCGUAAUCAUGGCAUAUAUUUGAGAAUCCAGGUGAAGAGGUUGAAAACCUUGCAGUUUGAUGAUGCACGAUUGCGUGUGAUGGCGAGGUUUAUGGCGAAGGGACGUUUCAGUGUCCGUACGUCUCAAAAAGGUCAAAAAACUCACGAAUCGAGGUUGCACUAUUACGUGUGAUGGCGAGUUUAAUGGCAAAGAGAUGUUUCAGUGUCCGCACACCUCAAAUGUCAUUAUUGAGGGACAAACAUACCAAGAAGAUGCCACGUAGCAGGGAAUCUGACAGGAUUGAGAUCGUGCAAUCGUGCCUUAUAAAUGCACCUUAAUGGUUGGCAUAUUCGAGGCUUUUUAAUGUCAUUCAGGAAUACGCUAAGGGUAUCUUUCGCUUUUUCAAGGUCGAGGCUCGACCAUGAGUUAUAGGCUGAAGACUUGAGAAGCGAGGGAGCAAUGUGUGGGUCCAAAAUAUUAUUUUGGGCCAAUCCGGGGAUUAUUGUCGACCCAAUGGCAUUUAUCUAGAAUUUUCUUGUGGGUCGGCCGAAUCCUGUUGCGAAAAGGAUUGGUUUAGAUAAAGGGUGAAGUGGUCAAUUCCUAGUGGAACAAGGAGUUUUGAAGUCGAAGAUGCUUGGGAUUAGGAGAUGAAGCUAGUUUGUUAUGGAACUUGGUUCAAAGUCCUAUUGGAGCUAAGACUGGCCAAAACCUAAUCAGAUUGGGUUAAAGAGUUCUAAUCUUAGUAUGAUUCUAGCUUGACCAUGAAGGGGUUUGCUACUAUAAAUAGAGGAGGGAGUGCAUUGUUCAAGCCCCUCCAAUUCAACACAUAAAUUGUUCUGCGCGAAGCUUCUCAACAACCCUUGAGAUUUUAUCAUUGUCCCCUUUCUACCCGCUAACACAUAUUUAGUUUGGAUAAACAACAUUGUGAAGGCAACCAAUGACAUCUUUAGUUUGGAUAAACAACAUUGGAGCUGUAGAAUCAGCUGUUCAAGGAGCACCUUCAAUUUGGAUAAACAACACUGCUUCGAGAUCGACUGGUUGUUAAUCUAAGUCUCGGUCGACAAGAAUUUUUGAGUCCUUGUUGGUAGAGGUCAUCUGAUCAACCUUCUUGGCAAAGUGAGGUGUUACAGGUAACUAGGCUUGGCACAUUGAACGCUAGGUCGUUUUAUGAUUGGAUACUCACAAGUACAAUUUAGAGUUCGGCAUUCCGACAACCGAACCACAUUUACCAUCAAGACAUACAUCUCUUUCGAGUAUUUGUGUCCAUAUAGUCAGCUACCAGUUCGGCAUGCUUAUGCUUUCACGAAUAUAAUCACCGAGACCGAACCUGGUGCAGACGAUUUGUGAACUUUGCAAAACUAGCAGCCUUGUCUUUAGGCUUUAGAAUCCGAAGGCGGAGACAUGUUCCUUCCUCGGCCGCAAUCGCAAGAUCAAGAAGUCAGCAGCAUGCUCAACGCGACAUUAACAUAUUUUACUCCUCGGCAGAACUCGGCCGACUAGUUGGCACAUCCCGCACACAACCAAAGGACGUAGUUAGCUCAUUAGUUACUUGGCCUGCGAGUCACGUAGGUUUGGUAGUUUUUAGGGUCAACAAUAUCAUAAUAUAAUCAAUGAGUUUGAUGAUUGGUAAUCACAUAGAAAGCUAGAGUUGUUCAUAAUUCAUAGAAUGGUUUGGUCACUUGUCACUCAUAUUUGGAUCUUGCAUUUUCUUUCUUCUCCACAAACAAUAGGACAUCUACAAAGAUGUUUACAAUGCACCUACAAUGUCGCAAAAAAAACUAUACCAUUGGAAUGGGGCUAACCCAAAUAUAUAUCGUUCUCAUCAUCUACCAUAGUCGAACGUGAAAAAUCUUCCAAUCAAAUGCAGUUGAAUAAACACUCGACUAAAAGGAUAGUUGGUAUUUGCAUCUUGCAUGCUAAUCUGAAGAUUUGGGUAAUUCAAAAGUGUAAUGUUUAUGAAAAGAAAAUAUCAUGAUCUAAAGAAUGCCAACCUUUUCCUCUUGCCUUUCUCACCUAAAAAUUAAAAAUAUUAUUUGAUCUGAAUCAAAAUCAGGAAAAGGUAGCUAGCAUUUCUCGUAAAGUAAUGUAAUAUACAAAUUUGAAAGCCCAACGUCAUUUUGCGUCAAUAAAAAAAGCCCAAAAUCAUUAAUUUCUUCUGGCAAAGCCUAGUUGCAUAAAUCAUUAACGAAACUCAAUUCAAAUGAUUCCUUUACCAGGAGGA
This 2418-nucleotide long non-coding RNA is filed under the name Malus domestica (apple). RNAcentral describes it as "long non-coding RNA (MDOM_LNC005627)". Lineage: Eukaryota; Viridiplantae; Streptophyta; Magnoliopsida; Rosales; Rosaceae. The record is from RNAcentral.